Molecule: ribosomal RNA, 2914 nt
Filed under: Salmonella enterica
Lineage: Bacteria; Pseudomonadati; Pseudomonadota; Gammaproteobacteria; Enterobacterales; Enterobacteriaceae
Also listed under: 1 other name
Description: bacterial LSU rRNA
Rfam family: Bacterial large subunit ribosomal RNA
Source: RNAcentral
GGGUUGUGAGGUUAAGCGACUAAGCGUACACGGUGGAUGCCCUGGCAGUCAGAGGCGAUGAAGGGCGUGCUAAUCUGCGAUAAGCGCGGUAAGGUGAUAUGAACCGUUAUAACCGGCGAUACCCGAAUGGGGAAACCCAGUGUGUUCGUCACACUAUCAUUAACUGAAUCCAUAGGUUAAUGAGGCGAACCGGGGGAACUGAAACAUCUAAGUACCCGAGGAAAAGAAAUCAACCGAGAUUCCCCAGUAGCGGCGAGCGAACGGGGAGGAGCCCAGAGCCUGAAUCAGCAUAUGUGUUAGUGGAAGCGUCUGGAAAGGCGCGCGAUACAGGGUGACAGCCCCGUACACAAAAGCGCAUGUGCUGUGAGCUCGAUGAGUAGGGCGGGACACGUGGUAUCCUGUCUGAAUAUGGGGGACCAUCCUCCAAGGCUAAAUACUCCUGACUGACCGAUAGUGAACCAGUACCGUGAGGGAAAGGCGAAAAGAACCCCGGCGAGGGGUGAAAAAGAACCUGAAACCGUGUACGUACAAGCAGUGGGAGCACCCUUUGGGGUGUGACUGCGUACCUUUUGUAUAAUGGGUCAGCGACUUAUAUUCUGUAGCAAGGUUAACCGAAUAGGGGAGCCGGAGGGAAACCGAGUCUUAAUUGGGCGUUAAGUUGCAGGGUAUAGACCCGAAACCCGGUGAUCUAGCCAUGGGCAGGUUGAAGGUUGGGUAACACUAACUGGAGGACCGAACCGACUAAUGUUGAAAAAUUAGCGGAUGACCUGUGGCUGGGGGUGAAAGGCCAAUCAAACCGGGAGAUAGCUGGUUCUCCCCGAAAGCUAUUUAGGUAGCGCCUCGUGAAUUCAUCUCCGGGGGUAGAGCACUGUUUCGGCUAGGGGCCAUCCCGGCUUACCAACCCGAUGCAAACUGCGAAUACCGGAGAAUGUUAUCACGGGAGACACGGCGGGUGCUAACGUCCGUCGUGAAGAGGGAAACAACCCAGACCGCCAGCUAAGGUCCCAAAGUCAUGGUUAAGUGGGAAACGAUGUGGGAAGGCCCAGACAGCCAGGAUGUUGGCUUAGAAGCAGCCAUCAUUUAAAGAAAGCGUAAUAGCUCACUGGUCGAGUCGGCCUGCGCGGAAGAUGUAACGGGGCUAAACCAUGCACCGAAGCUGCGGCAGCGACGCUGAUGCGUUGUUGGGUAGGGGAGCGUUCUGUAAGCCUGCGAAGGUGGCCUGUGAGGGUUGCUGGAGGUAUCAGAAGUGCGAAUGCUGACAUAAGUAACGAUAAAGCGGGUGAAAAGCCCGCUCGCCGGAAGACCAAGGGUUCCUGUCCAACGUUAAUCGGGGCAGGGUGAGUCGACCCCUAAGGCGAGGCCGAAAGGCGUAGUCGAUGGGAAACGGGUUAAUAUUCCCGUACUUGGUGUUACUGCGAAGGGGGGACGGAGAAGGCUAUGUUGGCCGGGCGACGGUUGUCCCGGUUUAAGCGUGUAGGUGUGUGUUCCAGGUAAAUCCGGUUCACUUUAACACUGAGGCGUGAUGACGAGGCACUACGGUGCUGAAGCAACAAAUGCCCUGCUUCCAGGAAAAGCCUCUAAGCAUCAGUACAUCAAAUCGUACCCCAAACCGACACAGGUGGUCAGGUAGAGAAUACCAAGGCGCUUGAGAGAACUCGGGUGAAGGAACUAGGCAAAAUGGUGCCGUAACUUCGGGAGAAGGCACGCUGACACGUAGGUGAAGUGAUUUACUCAUGGAGCUGAAGUCAGUCGAAGAUACCAGCUGGCUGCAACUGUUUAUUAAAAACACAGCACUGUGCAAACACGAAAGUGGACGUAUACGGUGUGACGCCUGCCCGGUGCCGGAAGGUUAAUUGAUGGGGUCAGCGCAAGCGAAGCUCCUGAUCGAAGCCCCGGUAAACGGCGGCCGUAACUAUAACGGUCCUAAGGUAGCGAAAUUCCUUGUCGGGUAAGUUCCGACCUGCACGAAUGGCGUAAUGAUGGCCAGGCUGUCUCCACCCGAGACUCAGUGAAAUUGAACUCGCUGUGAAGAUGCAGUGUACCCGCGGCAAGACGGAAAGACCCCGUGAACCUUUACUAUAGCUUGACACUGAACAUUGAGCCUUGAUGUGUAGGAUAGGUGGGAGGCUUUGAAGUGUGGACGCCAGUCUGCAUGGAGCCGGCCUUGAAAUACCACCCUUUAAUGUUUGAUGUUCUAACGUGGACCCGUGAUCCGGGUUGCGGACAGUGUCUGGUGGGUAGUUUGACUGGGGCGGUCUCCUCCUAAAGAGUAACGGAGGAGCACGAAGGUUGGCUAAUCCUGGUCGGACAUCAGGAGGUUAGUGCAAUGGCAUAAGCCAGCUUGACUGCGAGCGUGACGGCGCGAGCAGGUGCGAAAGCAGGUCAUAGUGAUCCGGUGGUUCUGAAUGGAAGGGCCAUCGCUCAACGGAUAAAAGGUACUCCGGGGAUAACAGGCUGAUACCGCCCAAGAGUUCAUAUCGACGGCGGUGUUUGGCACCUCGAUGUCGGCUCAUCACAUCCUGGGGCUGAAGUAGGUCCCAAGGGUAUGGCUGUUCGCCAUUUAAAGUGGUACGCGAGCUGGGUUUAGAACGUCGUGAGACAGUUCGGUCCCUAUCUGCCGUGGGCGCUGGAGAACUGAGGGGGCUGCUCCUAGUACGAGAGGACCGGAGUGGACGCAUCACUGGUGUUCGGGUUGUCAUGCCAAUGGCACUGCCCGGUAGCUAAAUGCGGAAGAGAUAAGUGCUGAAAGCAUCUAAGCACGAAACUUGCCCCGAGAUGAGUUCUCCCUGAGACUUAGAGUCUCCUGAAGGAACGUUGAAGACGACGACGUUGAUAGGCCGGGUGUGUAAGCGCAGCGAUGCGUUGAGCUAACCGGUACUAAUGAACCGUGAGGCUUAACCUUACAACGCCGAAG